This 551-nucleotide ribosomal RNA is filed under the name uncultured Halomonas sp. RNAcentral's name for it is "bacterial SSU rRNA". It matches the Rfam family "Bacterial small subunit ribosomal RNA", at positions 125 to 671 of the family's 1533-position model. The record is from RNAcentral. Lineage: Bacteria; Pseudomonadati; Pseudomonadota; Gammaproteobacteria; Oceanospirillales; Halomonadaceae.
UCUGCCCGGUAGUGGGGGAUAACCUGGGGAAACCCAGGCUAAUACCGCAUACGUCCUACGGGAGAAAGCAGGGGAUCUUCGGACCUUGCGCUAUCGGAUGAGCCUAUGUCGGAUUAGCUUGUUGGUGAGGUAACGGCUCACCAAGGCGACGAUCCGUAGCUGGUCUGAGAGGAUGAUCAGCCACAUCGGGACUGAGACACGGCCCGAACUCCUACGGGAGGCAGCAGUGGGGAAUAUUGGACAAUGGGCGAAAGCCUGAUCCAGCCAUGCCGCGUGUGUGAAGAAGGCUUUCGGGUUGUAAAGCACUUUCAGUGAGGAAGAAAGCCUUGGGGCUAAUACCCCCAAGGGACGACAUCACUCACAGAAGAAGCACCGGCUAACUCCGUGCCAGCAGCCGCGGUAAUACGGAGGGUGCAAGCGUUAAUCGGAAUUACUGGGCGUAAAGCGCGCGUAGGCGGCCUGAUAAGCCGGUUGUGAAAGCCCCGGGCUCAACCUGGGAACGGCAUCCGGAACUGUCAGGCUAGAGUGCAGGAGAGGAAGGUAGAAUUCCC